Molecule: long non-coding RNA, 465 nt
Filed under: Mus pahari (shrew mouse)
Lineage: Eukaryota; Metazoa; Chordata; Mammalia; Rodentia; Muridae
Description: lncRNA (MGP_PahariEiJ_G0005478.1)
Source: RNAcentral
UGGCUGGCCUCCAAUGCAAGAACAAGCAACAGCUUAGCAGAGCACUGGAUCCAAUUGUGCCCCCCAAGUCCUUUUCUCUUUCCCACCCGCCCCAAGCUCAAGACAACCAGACCCAGCGAAGCCAAGGGCCAUUCCAGAAGGCUGGAAAAAGAUGAGGCACCAUGGCCAUCACUGUCGGCUCCUUGGGACUCCAGUGCUCACCACCCAUCUGAGGGCAGAGAGACACCCCUUGGAGGCCGGCCGCCCCUUAGAAGCCAUGCUGAGCUGGACCAGGCCCGGGAGUCCAGUUGACCCAGCUCACCCCCUGGGCCUCGGGGCAUGUGCCUAGCUUCAUGUUGAGGGUGUACGUGUGGCUGGCCCGGGAGUGUGAGUGCGGUAGAGGGAGGGGCCCUCCGAGCUGCUCCAUCCGUCCGUUUUAUUAGGGACACAUUAAUCUAUAAUCAAAUACACCUCAUAAAAUUUUUA